CGUACACUCCUACGGGAGGCAGCAGUGGGGAAUAUUGCACAAUGGGCGCAAGCCUGAUGCAGCCAUGCCGCGUGUAUGAAGAAGGCCUUCGGGUUGUAAAGUACUUUCAGCGGGGAGGAAGGCAAUACGGUUAAUAACCGUGUUGAUUGACGUUACCCGCAGAAGAAGCACCGGCUAACUCCGUGCCAGCAGCCGCGGUAAUACGGAGGGUGCAAGCGUUAAUCGGAAUUACUGGGCGUAAAGCGCACGCAGGCGGUCUGUCAAGUCGGAUGUGAAAUCCCCGGGCUCAACCUGGGAACUGCAUUCGAAACUGGCAGGCUUGAGUCUUGUAGAGGGGGGUAGAAUUCCAGGUGUAGCGGUGAAAUGCGUAGAGAUCUGGAGGAAUACCGGUGGCGAAGGCGGCCCCCUGGACAAAGACUGACGCUCAGGUGCGAAAGCGUGGGGAGCAAACAGGAUUAGAAACCCCUGUAGUCCCAUG
Molecule: ribosomal RNA, 478 nt
Filed under: uncultured organism
Description: partial 16S ribosomal RNA
Rfam family: Bacterial small subunit ribosomal RNA
Source: RNAcentral